ACAGUGAGUGUAAGAGACAAGGCGUGCCCAGUUCAAACAGAACCAAUGCAGAGGACAAAGGACCAGAGCUCGCUGGGCUGGGGCGGGCAGCGGAGCCCCCACACGCUCAGACUCCCACCCUCUAGGACUCGUGUUCAUCCAGUCCACAGAUAUUUAUCGAGCACCUACUAUGUGCCAAGCUCUGUUCUAGGGGCUUGGGAUACAGCGGUGAACACAACAAAGAUUCCCACCCCUGGCAGGAGAAGAUAGACUAUAAGUAUGACAACUCAGGAAAUUCCCUAGGAAGUUAGAAGAUAAGCGCAGAAUGGGGGAGGUGAGGAGCACAAUUUUAAAUAAGACGGCCCGAGGAGACCUCAGGAGAAGAUGACGGGAAAAUCCGGGAGAAGCAGGGAGCCAGGCAGAACUGGAGAAGAGAUGGAAAACAUGGCAUAUCUCCAGAAUGUGCAUGACACUUGGCAACUCCCUGAAAUGUGCCCAUGACCUCUGGUCCACGCCUUUGCCCACGCCAGCCUGUGCCGCCCACUGGACAGAUCCCAAACCCGGGUCCCGUGAACCUGGCUGCCUCCUGCCUCCUGGCCCCUCCUUCAGGCCUGGAAGGCGCCGAGCAUCUGCCCUCCGCCUGCGGGCUGGGCCCCCCUCACCUCUGGGGCUGAGCUGAGCCACCUCUUCCUCAGACCCCGCCUCCCGCCUUCCAAACCAGCUUCUCCCGUGACUCCUUGAGCACGUCCCCUGAUCUGGAGCCCUGGUGCGACGACCUGUGUGAGUCCAUCUCCCCCACUGGACUGGAGACUACGUGAGGGCAGGGGCUGUGUGGCUCUCUCCUUCACCGCUCGGCCCCGUGUCCAGCACAGCGGGAGCCUGUAACAGGUAGUCGGUCCACCACCGUUGAAGGAAUGAACACGUGAUGUGGGAAGAAAUUAUCCAGUCUCUGUACCUUGCAGCUCCUCCCUCUGUAAAGUGAGUAUGGAGAACGUCUGCCUGAAAAUAAUAUUCAACACCGAUAGAGAGCCUGCUGUGUGCCCGGCUUGUCCAGACAUCAUCUCCUUGAAUCCUCAUCAGCCCUACGGGGCAGAUGCUGUUGUGAUCACCCCCAUUUUCCAGUGAUGGGGUUAGGUGUGGUCACCUGGCCACUUCUGGCCAAUGAGAAGUGAGGAAGGCUGCUGGAUGAAGGAACCUCUGAUGCUGCUGUCACUGGCCCUCGUCAUGCCUGAUGUGACAACCGGAACUGGGACAGCAAUCCCGCAGCCACCAUCUUGUGGCUGCCGUCCUGUGGCCCUGAGGGAAGCUUGCCUAACAGCAAAGCUGUCGCACUAAGUGUGCCGAGAGGAAGUAGGGGACAGACCGGGGUCUGUGGUGAUGCCGUGGGGCUGCUGGAGCAGCUGGCCCCAGGGCUGCCUGACCCUGCGACUCGGGGCCGUUUGUCCUUUCUGAUGCCUUGUGUUCUAUAUGUGCUCCUUGCCCCCAGAAGAAGCCCAACAAAUUCUUUGUUGUUGUUAGUGCCUUCAAGUCGCUUCUGACUCCUGGUCACCCUGCGGACAGCAGAGCAGAACCCUGCCGGGUCUUUCGCGCCAUCCUCUCAGCUUCCAGCACUAUGUCAGGCCAUGCUCUGCUGCUGUUCUCGGGGUUUUCAUGGUCAAGUUUUUUGGAAGUGGGUGGCCAGGGCCUCCUUC
Non-coding RNA from Equus caballus (horse), 1670 nucleotides. Lineage: Eukaryota; Metazoa; Chordata; Mammalia; Perissodactyla; Equidae. The record is from RefSeq and is a predicted model, not a curated record.